CUCCCGUGAGAGGGUCAUUGCGG
This 23-nucleotide non-coding RNA is filed under the name Cricetulus griseus (Chinese hamster). Lineage: Eukaryota; Metazoa; Chordata; Mammalia; Rodentia; Cricetidae. The record is from RNAcentral.